AUAUCAAUAAGCGGAGGAAAAGAAACCAACAGGGAUUGCCUCAGUAACGGCGAGUGAAGCGGCAAAAGCUCAAAUUUGAAAUCCCCCGGGAAUUGUAAUUUGAAGAGAUUUGGGUCCGGCCGGCAGGGGUUAAGUCCACUGGAAAGUGGCGCCACAGAGGGUGACAGCCCCGUGAACCCCCUUAAAGCCCUCAUCCCAGAUCUCCAAGAGUCGAGUUGUUUGGGAAUGCAGCUCUAAGUGGGUGGUAAAUUCCAUCUAAAGCUAAAUACCGGCGAGAGACCGAUAGCGAACAAGUACAGUGAUGGAAAGAUGAAAAGCACUUUGAAAAGAGAGUGAAAAAGUACGUGAAAUUGUUGAAAGGGAAGGGCUUGCAAGCAGACACUUAACUGGGCCAGCAUCGGGGCGGCGGGGAGCAAAACCACUGGGGAAUGUACCUUUCGAGGAUUAUAACCCCGGUCCUUACUCCCUCACCAUCCCGAGGCCUGCAAUCUAAGGAUGCUGGCGUAAUGGUUGCAAGUCGC
This 521-nucleotide ribosomal RNA is filed under the name Metschnikowia chrysoperlae. RNAcentral's name for it is "eukaryotic LSU rRNA". It matches the Rfam family "Eukaryotic large subunit ribosomal RNA", at positions 40 to 648 of the family's 3401-position model. Lineage: Eukaryota; Fungi; Ascomycota; Pichiomycetes; Serinales; Metschnikowiaceae. The record is from RNAcentral.